Anolis sagrei ordinatus is the source of this 1772-nucleotide non-coding RNA. Lineage: Eukaryota; Metazoa; Chordata; Lepidosauria; Squamata; Anolidae. The record is from RefSeq and is a predicted model, not a curated record.
UUGUCUCUAAUACUCAGAGUUAACCAUUGAUCGCCACACGGCAUCUCCUUAAAUAUGAUAUGUAUUCACAUUUCCCCAGGUGAGCGCUUUCCUUGACGUCACGUCUCCUUCGAGCCCCUCUCCUUGGCAAGGAACACCCUCCGGAGCCCUUUGUUUUGUUUUGUGCCCCACGUCGACCUACUUUCCCGGCACUCACAAUACCUUGUUUGUCUCUCUCCUCUCCGGCCUAGUUGGCUUCAACGGGAGUCCUCCGCUUGGCAAGGGCGAGCGGAAUAGUACAGAGCUUGGCGGGUGUGUUUUCCAAAUAGGACCCGGGCUUUCAGGUUUGGGAGAUGCCAGGUCUCGUAAUGGGGCCGCUUUGGGCGCGGACCGAUUAGAGAGAGGCGGAGGUGCCCUUCCUUGAUGCCCGGCUGCUCCCUUGGGAGGUUCCUUGAACCUGAUAAGAAAUCUCCUGCAGAAUCUGGCCCAUCUUGUAUGUUUGGGAUUACGAUACGGUGUAGUAGGAAGGCCGCCAAAGUGACUUCAUCUUGGCUGGAGGAGGUCGCUUUGAACCUCUUACACUCCCUUAUACUUUUCUUCUGCCGUCAGCAGCUUUUGUUCAUGUUUUAUGGAGCGACGUCAAGCACGAAGGAGGCCCCAGGCGACAGGAAUAGGUCACCCGCCAGAUAGUUUUGGGUUAGGACAGCUGUGGAUGGUGGUAGUUAUAGUCCAGAACGCUUUCCAGGCGAGCGAUUACCUGCCCUGGGUUGAAGGGAAAGGAAUUGCAGGGAGAUUAGGGGGAAAGGAAAAAUAUGGGGGGCAAGGGGGUUGCGGAGAGAUUGAAGGAAAGGGAAAGGAAGAUGAGGACUGUAGGGAGAUUGAAGGGAAAGGGAGGGAAGGGGAUUGCAGGGAAAAGCAAGAGAUGGGGAGAGAUUAGGAUUGCAAGAGAUUGAAGGGGGGAAGGAGAGAAGAGGAUUGUGGAGAGAUUGAGCAGAAAAUAAAAACAUGGAGAGAGAUUAGGAUUACAGAGAAAGGAAAGGUAGGAGAGAAGAGGACUGUGGAGAGACAUGGGAUAGGAAAGGUAGGAGAGAAGAGGUUAAUGGAGAGAUGAAGGGAAGGGAAAGGUAGGAUAGAAGAGGAUUGUAGAGAGAUUAAAUGUAGGAGAGAAGAGGAUUGYGGAGAGACAAGAGAUAGGAAAGGCAGGAGAGAAAAUGAUUGUGGAGAGAUUGAAAGGAAAGGAAAGGUAGGAGAGAUUGAAGGGAAAGGAAAGGUAGGAGAGAAGAGGAUUGUGGAGAGAUUAAGGAAAAGGAAAGGUAGGAGAGAAGAGGAUUGUGGAGAGAUUGAAAGGAAAGGUAGGAGAGAAGAGGAUUGAGGAGAGAUUGAAGGGAAAGGAAAGGUAGGAUAGAAGAGGAUUGUGGAGAGAUUAAAUGUAGGAGAGAAGAGGAUUGUGGAGAGACGAGAUAGGAAAGGCAGGAGAGAAAAGGAUUGUGGAGAGAUUGAAAGGAAAGGAAAAGUAGGAGAGAUUGAAGGGAAAGGAAAGGUAGGAGAYUGAGAGAGAGGUAGGAGAUUGAGAGAGGAUUGAGGAGAGAUUGAAGGGAAAGGUAAGGUAGAGGUUAUUAGUGAAGAGAUUGAAAGGAAAGGUAGAAGAAGAGAAUUGUGGAAAGCUUGAAGGGAAGGGAAAGAUAUGGGGAAGAGGAUUGUGUAGAGACUGAAGGGAAAGGAAAGGUAGGAGGAGAGAUUAGCAUUCCAGAGAGUGAGUGGAAAGAAAAGGUAGGAGAGAAGAGGAUUGUGGA